CGGGCUUCGUGAUUGGUAGAUGGAGCUAGCUGGCCAUCGAGUCCUCAAUCGAUGGGACUAUUAUGACAAAAUAGUAUAUAUUAGUCAUCUUUCUUUGUAGUUGCUCCACACCUUCCUCACGUUAAGGCCUUCAACUCUCUUCUGCUAAUAUCUUGUUGUUUUUGCAACUCAUCCUUCCUAGACUGUUCUAUGGCCUCCGCAGCUGCCGGUGCAACUCUAGAUGGUCCAGCAUCAUCUGCAGUUUGCGGGACGAAUAACGGUACGGCUGUAUCAGGUGGUGGGGGUGGUCGAAGGACUGCUUUUCCAAUCUGGGAAGCAUUAGACGGAACUGUUGGAAGUGGCGGGCCACGAUCACGAUAACGUGGUACAAGACGCAUACCACUAGACAUGAUCUAUACAAAAUAUUGACAAGUAUUAGUCUAAAUUUUGUGAUUAUUGACAUUAUUAUGUAAGCAUAUUAUUAUUGAGAAUA
This is a long non-coding RNA of Sesamum indicum (sesame), 472 nucleotides long. RefSeq lists it as uncharacterized. The record is from RefSeq and is a predicted model, not a curated record. Lineage: Eukaryota; Viridiplantae; Streptophyta; Magnoliopsida; Lamiales; Pedaliaceae.